Molecule: long non-coding RNA, 1147 nt
Organism: Carya illinoinensis
Lineage: Eukaryota; Viridiplantae; Streptophyta; Magnoliopsida; Fagales; Juglandaceae
Exons: 3
Source: RefSeq, a predicted model, not a curated record
CACACAAAUCCCUCUCUUAUCCUCCCGAGCUUCCUCUCUGAACACAACUCAAUUUCUCCUCUUCUCUUUGAUGCUCCUUUCAUUCUCCUUCCUCUCCCUCUCGAGCUUUCUCUCUCGAUCUCUCUCUUUGAAAAUCAACUCCAUCUUUUAUUUCAAUUUCUUUCUUUCUUCCUCUAUUUCAAUCGUCUUGACGACAGACUCAAUUUCUCUUCUCUUUAUCCAUUUUCAACCCUUUGUUUUUCAUCCUGAGGAGGAGCUAAGACGCAAUAUAAAAAACUUAACUUGACUCCGUUGAAAGCUUUGUUGAUAUGGUUUAAAAAAAAAAAAAAAAAAAAAAUUGUUUACGUCUCUUUCUUUCUCUUCAACUUGAAAGCUCUAUUUUUUUUUCUUGUUGUUCACAAACAACACCAGAUCUAGAAGUUUUAGUAUAGAACCGAGAAAAUCCAACACCUAUGUUUUUUGUGUAAUAACAUAUCUAUAUCUAUUCAUUUAGAUCUUUUAGUUUUCACUUUAUUUUUUAGAUUUGUUCUUUGGACCAUCAGGUCGAUAUGGGAGUUUGCUUCCGCACUUAAUUUCUUGCAUGGCUCUUUUGAAUAUCUUCAUGAAGUUCUCUGCCAAGGAGAAGCGCUGAAAGCCUGAAUGGUUGCCAAACAUUGGAUGGAAGCUCUUAUUUCCAACGACUUGUCCAUAACGUUGAAAAUACUAUUUUUCAACGAUGUAGUUGUCAACGCAAAUAAGGAAAUCUGCUGUUACAAAAAAGGCUCCACCAGGCCACACAAACUGAUGUAAAUACUCUAAUGCGGCUUUAUUUCCUCCUUGCAAAUACUCAUAUGCGGCUUUUAUUUUCACCUUGCAAAUACUCUUAUGCAGCUUUAUUUACUCCUUGCAAAUACUUAUAUGCAGCUUUUAUUUCCACCUUGCAAAUACUCUUAUGCGACUUUAUUUCCUCCUUGCAAAUAAUGUUGGAGCCCUGGGAUUUAUAGGUUGUGAUCAAGCAGGCAAAAUAAUUCCUCUUGCUCAUUGAAUAAUCCCGACAUUUUAUAUUCAACGCAAUAGUCUAUAUAAGCGCUGCUAAAAGACUUUUCUGUCACAAGUUUGACCGCGCGCCCAGAACAUCAAUACACAAGAUGCAUCUAUUAAUGGCUGA